RNAcentral lists this long non-coding RNA (2179 nucleotides) under Mus musculus (house mouse). RNAcentral describes it as "expressed sequence AU023762". Lineage: Eukaryota; Metazoa; Chordata; Mammalia; Rodentia; Muridae. The record is from RNAcentral.
ACACAGGGUGCAGAGAAGAAAGAGAAAGACAGCGCAGGAUGUGGAGUCCAGCGAACAGAGGGCUGACUUCCCACCAUACCCCACUGGACAUGAGUGAGCAGAUGUCCUUCCAGGUAUCUAGUGCCCGAGGAGUCAUGUGUCACAUGCCCAGUGAAAGUUUGGUGACUGAAUGGGUCCAUCUUCUGCUUUCAUGAUUGUCCCCAAGCCAGAGUGAUGGAGGAUGGAGAGAGAAUGUGGAUUGGUACUAAGGUGUCAUGUGACUGCCUCAGACUGAAUUGUAAAACAUUUUUGGACAGUUUCAUACACGGAGAUGAUGAAGGUUGGAGGAGAGGAUCAGGAAAGAGCUGUUUGUACGAACGAUCUCCUAGUGGACCUCCGGAAGAAGAAAAGGAAGAGUGAGAUAAAGAGUGAAGGUCGGACAGCAGCAGCAGAACAGAGAAAAGAACACGCAAAGGCAGGAGAGCGCUGGACGAAGCCAGAUAUCUAAAAGGCAACGGGACCAGGAACCAGUACAGAUGAGGCUGAAUAACGAGGUAGCAGCCAGUUUGUGGAGUGACUCAGGGGCCAGGGCAAGGGAUUUGGUCUUUCUUUCAAGAGCACUGAGAAAACAUCAAACAUAAUCUAAAAUAAGCCAACCUCUGGUUUAAAGAGAUAACUGGAUCAGCUGUGUGGAAAACAAUCAGAGUCCUUACGACUCAGGGAGCCUGGGGUGGGAAUUCCUUAUAGAAUGCAUAUGGAUUCAUAUAUGUUUUUAUAUUUUAUAUCCAAGUCUCUACUCCACCUGGGAUCUUGCUCACAGCAACAGCUAAGGCUUAUCCUUGAGUAGAUAUGGAUAGCUAUUUGCUCCAACGCCGUUGAUUGAAAAUGUCCUUUGCCUGUUGCUUUUCUAUCACACAUUUGGCAUAAACUCAUUUCUACAGUAGUUACGGUUGUACAUUUUAGGUUAUUGUAAUGUUCUGGUCUGUCUUUCUCUUCUUGCGCAAAGUCUGUGCUGUCUCCUUUACUGUAAGUCAUUUAUCUCCAUGAUUCUCUAGGCUAUUCUUUUUUUAAAAUCUAUUUAUUUUAUUUAUAUAAGUACACUGGAGCUGUCUUCAGCCAUAUGAGAAGGCACUAGAUCCAUUACAGAUGGUUGUGAGCCACCAUGUGGUUGCUGAGAAUUGAACUCAGGACCUCUGGAAGAGCAAUCAGUGCUCUUAACCACUGAGCCAUCUCUCUAGCCCCUAAGCUAUUCUUUUUAAUCCCUUGUUUUCAAAAAAUAUGUUUUAGAGUCAGUGUGUCAAGUUAUACACAUACACACACACACACACACACACACACACAUACACACACACACACACACCAGUCUAAUGAGAUGUACUUUUUAAAAAGCAACACCCUCUAUUGAGGCUUUCAUAAUGAGUAUCAUAUUGGAGGAAAGUGAGGUUUGUCUUAGUUUCUUUUCCCACUGCUGUGAUAAAAAAGCCUGACAAAAUCAACUCAAGAGAGAAAGGAUUUCUUUGGCUUAUUAGUCACAGCCAUCACUUCAGGGAAGUCAAGGUGGCAGGAAUUUGAAACAGAUGUCACAUUACAUCCACAAAUCAGAAUCUGAGCAAUGACUUAAUGCAUGUGUGCCUAGCUCAGUAUCUCUGCUCAGAAUCCCUUGCCUAGGGAAUAGUGCCGCUCACUGUGGGCUCUCCAACCUUAAUUAACAUAAUCAAGAUAAUCCCCCACCAGACAUACUCAUAGGCCAACCUAAUAUAGACAUUCUCUCAGUGAGACUCCCUUUCCAAGUGAUUCUGGAUUGUGUCAAGUUGACAAUUAACAAUGACCAUCACAGGAUCUAUAAAGAAUUGAAACUUCCAGUCUGUGAGCACAGAAUAUCUAUCAGUAUAUAGAGACUAUCCUUGAUUUUGAUUUUUUUUCAAUUGUGUUGUGUACUUUCCUGUUAAAAUUCUCACAUAUAUAUAUUUUAGAUUUACUCCUGGAUAUUUAAUAUUUGGGAUGCUAUUGCUAAUAGUCUUUUUAAAAAUUUGUUUUUAAGUUAUUGCUGGCAUUAAUAAAUUCAAUUACUUCUGAGCAUUUAUCUUUAGUAAUAUUAUUACAUUUUCUUGUUAAUUCUAAAGUCUGUAGAUUAUUUUGGGUUAUUGUUGUGCAUAUAAUCCUCUCAUUUUCAGACAAUGGAAAUAAAAUAUUUUCUUCC